RNAcentral lists this ribosomal RNA (253 nucleotides) under uncultured bacterium. RNAcentral's name for it is "partial 16S ribosomal RNA". It matches the Rfam family "Bacterial small subunit ribosomal RNA", at positions 524 to 776 of the family's 1533-position model. The record is from RNAcentral.
UACAGAGGGUGCGAGCGUUAAUCGGAAUUACUGGGCGUAAAGGGCGCGUAGGCGGUUAGGAAAGUGUGAUGUGAAAGCCCCGGGCUUAACCUGGGAACUGCAUUUGUGACUGCAUGGCUAGAGUACGGUAGAGGGGGAUGGAAUUCCGCGUGUAGCAGUGAAAUGCGUAGAUAUGCGGAGGAACACCGAUGGCGAAGGCAAUCCCCUGGACCUGUACUGACGCUCAUGCACGAAAGCGUGGGGAGCAAACAGG